Leopardus geoffroyi (Geoffroy's cat) is the source of this 334-nucleotide long non-coding RNA. RefSeq lists it as uncharacterized. The record is from RefSeq and is a predicted model, not a curated record. The transcript is spliced from 3 exons. NCBI's taxonomy places the organism in Eukaryota, Metazoa, Chordata, Mammalia, Carnivora, Felidae.
CCCCGGUUCCCAGAAACCGCCUCCGUACGCCGCGGGCCACCACGUGCGGGAGGGCCGGGUGCAGAGCCGGGACACCGCGUCCCGGGCCGCUGGGCCCUGCGCCCGGCACCCUGCCCCCUGGCCUGUGCUUGAACUCGAGAUGUUUGGGGGGCGGGGGAAAGCUGGGGUAGAGGGGUGCGGAGCUGGUCUUGCCCCCCCCCCCCCCCCGAGAAAAAUCUGUUGGAAGACCAGAUUACAAAAACCUCUUUGUACCUGUCAAGACUUAAUAAUUGUGUCACAGCACGAGGGAAACAGAGCGUGAGCAGGGGAGGGGAAGAAAGAGAGAGGGAGACAC